CCUACGGGAGGCAGCAGUGAGGAAUAUUGGUCAAUGGGAGAGAUCCUGAACCAGCCAAGCCGCGUGAGGGAAGACGGCCCUAUGGGUUGUAAACCUCUUUUGUCGGAGAACAAAACCCGGGACGUGUCCCGGACUGCGUGUAUCCGAAGAAAAAGCAUCGGCUAACUCCGUGCCAGCAGCCGCGGUAAUACGGAGGAUGCGAGCGUUAUCCGGAUUUAUUGGGUUUAAAGGGUGCGCAGGCGGAUUUUUAAGUCAGCGGUCAAAUCGUGGGGCUCAACCCCAUCCAGCCGUUGAAACUGGGGAUCUAGAGUGUGCGAGAGGUAUGCGGAAUGCGUGGUGUAGCGGUGAAAUGCAUAGAUAUCACGCAGAACCCCGAUUGCGAAGGCAGCAUACCGGUGCACAACUGACGCUCAGGCACGAAAGCGUGGGUAUCGAACAGGAUUAGAUACCCCUGUAGUC
Molecule: ribosomal RNA, 459 nt
Filed under: uncultured bacterium
Lineage: Bacteria
Description: partial 16S ribosomal RNA
Rfam family: Bacterial small subunit ribosomal RNA
Source: RNAcentral